UACGUGUUAAUGUAAAAGCAUAAAAGAUUUUGAUUCUUUCAGUUUUGGUGUAAUUCCAUUACAUGUAA
This 68-nucleotide transfer RNA is filed under the name Daphnia magna. Its description in RNAcentral is "tRNA-Gln". The record is from RNAcentral. Lineage: Eukaryota; Metazoa; Arthropoda; Branchiopoda; Diplostraca; Daphniidae.